AGGCAGCAGUGGGGGAUAUUGCACAAUGGGGGGAACCCUGAUGCAGCGACGCCGCGUGGGUGAAGAAGCGCCUCGGCGCGUAAAGCCCUGUCAGCAGGGAAGAAAAUGACGGUACCUGAAGAAGAAGCCCGGCUAACUACGUGCC
Molecule: ribosomal RNA, 145 nt
Filed under: uncultured bacterium
Lineage: Bacteria
Description: partial 16S ribosomal RNA
Rfam family: Bacterial small subunit ribosomal RNA
Source: RNAcentral